ACUACGGGUGGCUGCAGUGGGGAAUAUUGGACAAUGGGCGAAAGCCUGAUCCAGCCAUGCCGCGUGUGUGAAGAAGGCCUUCGGGUUGUAAAGCACUUUCAGUGGGGAAGAAAGCCUUGGGGCUAAUACCCUCGAGGAAGGACAUCACCCACAGAAGAAGCACCGGCUAACUCCGUGCCAGCAGCCGCGGUAAUACGGAGGGUGCGGGCGUUAAUCGGAAUUACUGGGCGUAAAGCGCGCGUAGGCGGUCUGAUAAGCCGGUUGUGAAAGCCCCGGGCUCAACCUGGGAACGGCAUCCGGAACUGUCAGGCUAGAGUGCAGGAGAGGAAGGUAGAAUUCCCGGUGUAGCGGUGAAAUGCGUAGAGAUCGGGAGGAAUACCAGUGGCGAAGGCGGCCUUCUGGACUGACACUGACGCUGAGGUGCGAAAGCGUGGGUAGCAAACAGGAUUAGAUACCCGAGUAGUC
Molecule: ribosomal RNA, 465 nt
Filed under: Vreelandella stevensii
Lineage: Bacteria; Pseudomonadati; Pseudomonadota; Gammaproteobacteria; Oceanospirillales; Halomonadaceae
Description: partial 16S ribosomal RNA
Rfam family: Bacterial small subunit ribosomal RNA
Source: RNAcentral